AUUGAACGCUGGCGGCAGGCCUAACACAUGCAAGUCGAACGGUAACAGGAAGCUGGUUGCUGCUUCGCGGACGAGUGGCGGGCGUGAGGGCUAUGACUGUGAAGCUGCCUGAUGGAGGAGGUUAACUACUGGAAACUGUAACCACUACCGCAUUAUGUCGCAAGGUCAAAGAGCGUCAGACUCGGGGCUCUCGGCUUCGGCUGUGUCCAGAUGGGAUUAGCUUGUUGGUGGGGUAAAGGCUCACCAAGGCGACGAUCCCUAGCUGGUCUGAGAGGAUGACCAGCCACACUGGGACUGAGACACGGUCCAGACUCCUACGGGAGGCAGCAGUGGGGAAUAUUGCACAAUGGGCGCAAGCCUGAUGCAGCCAUGCCGCGUGUAUGAAGAAGGUCUUCGGAUUGUAAAGUACUUUCAGCGGGGAGGAAGGGAGGAAAGUUAAUACCUUUGCUCAUUGACGUUACCCGCAGAAGAAGCACCGGCUAACUCCGUG
RNAcentral lists this ribosomal RNA (490 nucleotides) under uncultured bacterium. RNAcentral's name for it is "partial 16S ribosomal RNA". It matches the Rfam family "Bacterial small subunit ribosomal RNA", at positions 30 to 507 of the family's 1533-position model. The record is from RNAcentral.